Molecule: ribosomal RNA, 504 nt
Filed under: uncultured bacterium
Lineage: Bacteria
Description: partial 16S ribosomal RNA
Rfam family: Bacterial small subunit ribosomal RNA
Source: RNAcentral
GAUAAACGCUAGCGGCAGGCUUAACACAUGCAAGUCGAGGGGCAGCAUAGAUUGUAGCAAUACAAUUGGUGGCGACCGGCGCACGGGUGCGUAGCGCGUAUGCAACCUACCCGUCACAGGGGGAUAAUCCGGAGAAAUCUGGUCUAAUACCCCAUAACAUAUGGAUCGGCAUCGGUUCAUGUUGAAAUUUUCGGAGGUGACGGAUGGGCAUGCGUAGCAUUAGCUUGUUGGUGAGGUAACGGCUCACCAAGGCGACGAUGCUUAGGGGGACUGAGAGGUUUUCCCCCCACACUGGUACUGAGACACGGACCGGACUCCUACGGGAGGCAGCAGUGAGGAAUAUUGGUCAAUGGGCGCAAGCCUGAACCAGCUAUGCCGCGUGCAGGAUGACGGCUCUAUGAGUUGUAAACUGCUUUUGUACGAGGGUAAAGUGGGUUACGUGUAACCUUUUGAAAGUAUCGUACGAAUAAGGAUCGGCUAACUCCGUGCCAGCCGCCGCCGUAA